Molecule: long non-coding RNA, 546 nt
Filed under: Equus caballus (horse)
Lineage: Eukaryota; Metazoa; Chordata; Mammalia; Perissodactyla; Equidae
Description: lncRNA (ENSECAG00000048327.1)
Source: RNAcentral
CUCCACCUUUGGGCAAGAUGGCUGCGCCCACUGGCUUUGCCGGGAGGGAGGGGCUGCUAUUCUCACGCGCCGAUCUGGAUUCAGAUCAGUUCUGUUCUCUGGUCUCCCGAGGCCCUGGGUUUAUGGGGUCCCCACGGACGGAAGCUUUCCCCCCAUCAGUGGGUUUCCACUGAACCAGCGGCAGGAGUCCUGGAUGAUCCCCCGGUCGCGCGGCCCCUCCCCCACUCCUUCGUGACCCACGCCGCAGCCAUCGCAGACUCUAGGGGAGGGAGCAAUGUUCUCUCCUAUCGUUCCAGCACCUCCAAGGCCAAAAUAACACAUUGGUUAUAGACGAAGCUCUCCGUGUGCCCUUUCCAGACUCCACUUCCCUCUCUCCUCCUCCUAUGAUCUGGCUCCUGAACUUGGGUGUAUGUUUUCACGUGUUAAGACAUCUUCCAUAGCUCAAGGGGGAGAUUCUUGAACUUGCCCAACCCAAAGACGUGCAUGCUUCAGAAAACGCUGGACUGAUUUGGAAAACUAGGCAAGCGCACACUCAGACCCUGCGAC